Strongylocentrotus purpuratus (purple sea urchin) is the source of this 254-nucleotide long non-coding RNA. RefSeq lists it as uncharacterized. Lineage: Eukaryota; Metazoa; Echinodermata; Echinoidea; Camarodonta; Strongylocentrotidae. The transcript is spliced from 4 exons. The record is from RefSeq and is a predicted model, not a curated record.
GACUUUGACGGAAGAAAAGUUUUUGGAGUGUGGAUUUGGUGGAUGAGGAGGAGGACGCUGUUUCGGUGGACGAGGCGGCGGUGGACGCGGAAGGGGAGAAUUCGGCGGAGGAAGGGGACGAGGAGGUUAUUGACUGUUUUCAAGAUUGCUGAGAGUUGCAGAGAGACCGAGGGUGGUACACUCCAAAGAACUCUCCAAAGAACUCUCCAAAGAACUCUCCAAAGAACUCUCCAAAGAACUCUCCAAAGAACUCU